UACAACUUUUGUCUGAAACACUUUCUAGUAAAACUCUUCCUUAUCGAGAUAUUCAACCAUGUCCAGACAUUUUUAACAGAUGUUAAAAGAAAUAUGAAAAACUAUUCCAAUAGAGUUCGAAAGAAUAAAAAUGUAAGAGAUUUUCAUCACUAAUGACUUAGGUCUUUCCUUUCUUUCAGCUGGUAUUUCAACAUUUCAUAAUACAUUUCAUUUUAUAAAGCGAUUACGCGCCUACGCGUGUUUUGAACACAAAAUCGAAUAUGGAGAUGAAGAUGAAUGCGCGGCGCGCAUAAAUAUUUCAGAAUAUUGCGGAAUGCAAUCGCCGGAUUACGAUGCCGGAAGUGUCCAAAUGAACUUCGAAAAGUCACGAAAGAUUUGCGUGUCGACGUGACAGAAAUGGAGCAGUUUCUCCGACGUGGUUUUUUCGAACAAUGGAAAAUCCUGUCGAUGGAAAAUUCGACUUUUCUCCCUGGCGCUAUCGCCAAAAUCUCAUGGAAUUUUAAAGCAGCCGCCCGCCUCCGGAUUAUUAGUUCGAAUCACGCGAUGCAUCCUCGUUGCACGGACAGCUUUUCGAUUCUACCCGAUGUAAGCGCCAGAAACUUCGCCAUCUUCGUUCGCUCGCUGUAAUAUUCCUCCAAGAAACGAAAGUAAGGCAGGGGGACGCAAAAUGUGAACAGAGAGACAAGCUUGUGACGUUAUGAGCCAGCGAGUGUUGCAUUUUUUACAAACGAUAAUGCCAUGUCGACCGUUUUUGCCUUGCUCGCAACUGCAAACCGUCCCGGUUUCGUUCCGGCUCAUCUCUUAUUUUAAGCACAGUUUCUGCACAUGCAUGUUUAAUAUCCAAACCUGGCUAAUGUAUCCUGCGAAACGUAUGCUCGCUUCUUCUAGUCUAGAUUCUUAUUUCAUUUUCAAUGGAAUUUUUUCAUGGGAUAUGAUUAUAGGAAAAAGAUUGUCAAAUUUAGCGUUAAUUGAGUGAUUUGGAUGCAUCGAUGUUAUUUACGAAAAUGAGCGCAUCUAUGUGUUGUAACAAGCUCUGGAGAUUUUCAAGAGAGUUCCCUCUACAGAAAUUGAAACAUACAGAUUCCUCUUCAACGUACAUUAUAUAUUAUCUCACGUUCUCUUUUACGUACUUGGAUUCUAACAAAUUCUCUAUUUAUAGAUAAUAAGUUUUCCUGCAAUAAUUAUUUAUUUCUGAAAAGGAUAAAAACUGAUAUACGCGACUGAUAUAACCAGGAGCAGAUCAUUUGCAUGCACUCAUCGUUGCCCUCGUACAAAUUCUAAAAAUAAAGUCAAUCAAGACGUGAGUUAAAAAGUACAUCUCGUAUCCAUAUGAGAAACUAGACCGGCAUAUUCUAAUGAUAUAUGGACCUGUCGAUCUAAGGAUCAAAGCAUCCAAGAAUACAACCCGGAAGUUUACUGACGUAAGAUCCAAAAAUGCUAUAGCUAGGCAGGAUUUAAGGAUGCAGAACUGCAAUCGAUAGAUGAUUAUUUCAUAGUGAAAAUUUCAUAGUGAAAAUUCUGUAAAAUCCCCCUGGUCAAAAAAAUUUCACUUUUAAUUAA
Long non-coding RNA from Camponotus floridanus (Florida carpenter ant), 1560 nucleotides. RefSeq lists it as uncharacterized. The record is from RefSeq and is a predicted model, not a curated record. The transcript has 3 exons. NCBI's taxonomy places the organism in Eukaryota, Metazoa, Arthropoda, Insecta, Hymenoptera, Formicidae.